CUCUUGGUAAGCUGUGCCAUAAGGAAAUGGACUUCCUUCUUAUUUGAUUUGCCAAUUUUUAAAACUGAACUUUAAAUAAAAGAAUUUUGGAAGAAUUAAGAAAACGGGAAACAUUGUGAUGAAGGCCAGAUGAUUAUUUGUCCUAAUGUUAUGAAUCAGUGACAAGAAAAGCUUGUCGUGGAAGCGCCAACGUGCCUUGAGAGACAUGAGCACUAGAGGUGGCUGCGAGCAGUGCUGGCGGGGCCCCCGGAGCCCCGCACCUGGCCCUGGGCGGGCUGGUGCGCUGUUCCCCAAAGGGCAGGCUCCACACGCGGUCUGUAGCACAGGAGUUCAGGAGGAAAACCAGAGGAAGUUUGGAUUUUCCCCUCUGGUCCAGGAGGAAAAUGCUCUUUGGGAAACGGAUGUGGACAUGUGAAGUCCCCCAGCUGCGAGCUCGGCGAAGCCAAGGCUGAAGGCACGUCGGAGCCCCAGCCUGCCCCUCACUGUUCCGAGGGCCCGGCAGCAGAGAGGACAGCAGCGGAAUUACAGGCGGGCUGCACCUGAAACAGGCUGCGGCCCCACCUGAAUUUCAGGUGCCCCGGGGAGGCCUUUCAACCACCUGGAAUUGAGGCUGUUUCAAGAUGUCAGGGAAGAGUUUUCCCGAUUGGAAAGAACAGCCUCGGGAGGAGGACAGCUGGACUCUGAUCAAUAGUCAUCGGACAAGUCACUGAACCUCCUUAGCAGAAGGAUGCCAUGAAUGAAGUGCCUCAUUACCAGCUCUGCUUUCCGGGUGUCUGUGCAGAGGAGCUGUCUGCUUUUGC
RNAcentral lists this long non-coding RNA (800 nucleotides) under Equus asinus (donkey). RNAcentral describes it as "lncRNA (ENSEASG00005027508.1)". Lineage: Eukaryota; Metazoa; Chordata; Mammalia; Perissodactyla; Equidae. The record is from RNAcentral.